RNAcentral lists this ribosomal RNA (118 nucleotides) under Castor canadensis (American beaver). Lineage: Eukaryota; Metazoa; Chordata; Mammalia; Rodentia; Castoridae. The record is from RNAcentral.
GUCUAUGGCCAUAUCACCCUGAACGUGCUCGAUUUUGUCUGAUCUCAGAAGGUAAGCACGGUAGGGUCUGGUUAGUACUUGGAUGGGUGAACAUCUAUUGUGCUUAAAACCUUGGUUU